UUAGGAAUAUUACACAAUGGGGGCAACCCUGAUGGAGCAACGCCGCGUGAAGGAUGAAGGUCUUCGGAUUGUAAACUUCUUUUAUGAGUGAAGAAUAUGACGGUAACUCAUGAAUAAGCACCGGCUAACUACGUGCCAGCAGCCGCGGUCAUACGUAGGGUGCAAGCAUUAUCCGGAGUGACUGGGCGUAAAGAGUUGCGUAGGUGGUUAAUAAAGCGAAUAGUGAAACCUGGAGGCUCAACCUUACAGACUAUUAUUCGAACUUAUUAACUCGAGAAUGGUAGAGGUAACUGGAAUUUCUUGUGUAGGAGUGAAAUCCGUAGAUAUAAGAAGGAACACCAAUGGCGUAGGCAGGUUACUGGACCAUUUCUGACACUGAGGCACGAAAGCGUGGGGAGCGAACC
RNAcentral lists this ribosomal RNA (404 nucleotides) under uncultured prokaryote. RNAcentral's name for it is "bacterial SSU rRNA". It matches the Rfam family "Bacterial small subunit ribosomal RNA", at positions 355 to 774 of the family's 1533-position model. The record is from RNAcentral.